RNAcentral lists this ribosomal RNA (253 nucleotides) under uncultured bacterium. RNAcentral describes it as "partial 16S ribosomal RNA". It matches the Rfam family "Bacterial small subunit ribosomal RNA", at positions 524 to 776 of the family's 1533-position model. The record is from RNAcentral.
UACGUAGGGUGCAAGCGUUGUUCGGAAUUACUGGGCGUAAAGGGCUCGUAGGUGGCCAACUAAGUCAGACGUGAAAUCCCUCGGCUUAACCGGGGAACUGCGUCUGAUACUGGAUGGCUUGAGUUCGGGAGAGGGAUGCGGAAUUCCAGGUGUAGCGGUGAAAUGCGUAGAUAUCUGGAGGAACACCGGUGGCGAAGGCGGCAUCCUGGACCGACACUGACGCUGAGGAGCGAGAGCCAGGGGAGCAAACGGG